RNAcentral lists this ribosomal RNA (460 nucleotides) under uncultured bacterium. RNAcentral's name for it is "SSU rRNA". It matches the Rfam family "Bacterial small subunit ribosomal RNA", at positions 26 to 518 of the family's 1533-position model. The record is from RNAcentral.
AGAACGAACGCUGGCGGCAUGCCUAACACAUGCAAGUCGAACGCUCUUGGGGCUUCGGUUCCAAGGGAGUGGCGCACGGGUGAGUAGCGCGUGGGAACCUGCCCUGGAGUGGGGGAUAACCGAGGGAAACUUCGGCUAAUACCGCAUGCGCCCGGGAAACCGGGGAAAGAUUUAUCGCUCUAGGAGGGGCCCGCGUCGGAUUAGCUAGUUGGUGGGGUAACGGCCUACCAAGGCUUUGAUCCGUAGCUGGUCUGAGAGGAUGAUCAGCCUCAUUGGGACUGAGACACGGCCCAAACUCCUACGGGAGGCAGCAGUGGGGAAUAUUGGACAAUGGGCGCAAGCCUGAUCCAGCCAUGCCGCGUGGGUGAUGAAGGCCCUAGGGUUGUAAAGCCCUUUCGGCGGGGAAGAUAAUGACGGUACCCGCAGAAGAAGCCCCGGCUAACUUCGUGCCAGCAGCCGC